Rhipicephalus sanguineus (brown dog tick) is the source of this 549-nucleotide long non-coding RNA. RefSeq lists it as uncharacterized. NCBI's taxonomy places the organism in Eukaryota, Metazoa, Arthropoda, Arachnida, Ixodida, Ixodidae. The transcript has 3 exons. The record is from RefSeq and is a predicted model, not a curated record.
GCCACGUUGCGCAUGAUGCAGGCGGCAACUAAUUAACGCCAUGGUUGGCCUGGUCAUGCAUGGGGCGUGUGCAUACUAGUCGCGUCUUCUUUUGUGUGUGUACGGACUGUAACUGUCGGCGGCAACUGGGCCGUGGAACUACCGACAAGGCGGCUGCAUCAACUACAAUUCAUCGAGGCCCACCGACGUUACUCCGGGCUUCAUCGUCGGCAUCAAACAUAUUGGGAGCUUCUGAACCUUCGAUCGCGCCGGGUGCACUCGGUGUUCGAUGGAGGAUGGCCUUACACGUCCAGCACAUGCCUUUGAGAAAGCUACUACUCCUGAUGUCCCUGCAGCCACAGUGUACCUUCACCCUUGAAGAUUCGGCUUCACGUUCCUUUAUCACUUCCUUGCCUCCUCUGCAAUUCGUCGUGCAGGGAAGCCAACCACUGCAGCGUGCUCUUCAGUCUUCACUCCAUGUAAGAACUCCAUUCCGCUGUGCUUCUGGUCACCACUCUGAGGACCACUACCGGAUCUACUACUGUCGAUGUACUGCUGCUUUUGCUGCCU